This 544-nucleotide ribosomal RNA is filed under the name Klebsiella variicola. Its description in RNAcentral is "partial 23S ribosomal RNA". It matches the Rfam family "Bacterial large subunit ribosomal RNA", at positions 1213 to 1756 of the family's 2925-position model. The record is from RNAcentral. Lineage: Bacteria; Pseudomonadati; Pseudomonadota; Gammaproteobacteria; Enterobacterales; Enterobacteriaceae. RNAcentral also lists the same sequence under 1 other name.
CUUAUGCGUUGUUGGGUAGGGGAGCGUUCUGUAAGCCUGCGAAGGUGGCCUGUGAGGGCUGCUGGAGGUAUCAGAAGUGCGAAUGCUGACAUAAGUAACGAUAAAGCGGGUGAAAAGCCCGCUCGCCGGAAGACCAAGGGUUCCUGUCCAACGUUAAUCGGGGCAGGGUGAGUCGACCCCUAAGGCGAGGCCGAAAGGCGUAGUCGAUGGGAAACAGGUUAAUAUUCCUGUACUUGGUGUUACUGCGAAGGGGGGACGGAGAAGGCUAUGUUAGCCGGGCGACGGUUGUCCCGGUUUAAGCAUGUAGGCGGAGGUUCCAGGUAAAUCCGGUACCUUUUAACGCUGAGGUGUGAUGACGAGGCACUACGGUGCUGAAGUAACAAAUGCCCUGCUUCCAGGAAAAGCCUCUAAGCAUCAGGUAACAUUAAAUCGUACCCCAAACCGACACAGGUGGUCAGGUAGAGAAUACCAAGGCGCUUGAGAGAACUCGGGUGAAGGAACUAGGCAAAAUGGUGCCGUAACUUCGGGAGAAGGCACGCUGGUG